RNAcentral lists this ribosomal RNA (253 nucleotides) under uncultured bacterium. Its description in RNAcentral is "partial 16S ribosomal RNA". It matches the Rfam family "Bacterial small subunit ribosomal RNA", at positions 524 to 776 of the family's 1533-position model. The record is from RNAcentral.
UACGUAGGGAGCAAGCGUUGUCCGGAAUCAUUGGGCGUAAAGGGCGCGUAGGCGGCUCCGUACGUCCCGCGUGAAAGCUCCCGGCUCACCUGGGAGAGGUCGCGGGAUACGGCGGGGCUCGAGCACGGUAGGGGGCCAUGGAAUUCCCGGUGUAGUGGUGGAAUGCGUAGAGAUCGGGAGGAACACCAGUGGCGAAGGCGGUGGCCUGGACCGAUGCUGACGCUGAGGCGCGAAAGCGUGGGGAGCGAUCCGG